AUUGAACGCUGGCGGCAUGCCUUACACAUGCAAGUCGAACGGCAGCACGGGUGCUUGCACCUGGUGGCGAGUGGCGAACGGGUGAGUAAUACAUCUGAACAUGUCCUGUAGUGGGGGAUAGCCCGGCGAAAGCCGGAUUAAUACCGCAUACGAUCUACGGAUGAAAGCGGGGGACCUUCGGGCCUCGCGCUAUAGGGUUGGCCGAUGGCUGAUUAGCUAGUUGGUGGGGUAAAGGCCUACCAAGGCGACGAUCAGUAGCUGGUCUGAGAGGACGACCAGCCACACUGGGACUGAGACACGGCCCAGACUCCUACGGGAGGCAGCAGUGGGGAAUUUUGGACAAUGGGCGAAAGCCUGAUCCAGCAAUGCCGCGUGUGUGAAGAAGGCCUUCGGGUUGUAAAGCACUUUUGUCCGGAAAGAAAUCCUUGGCCCUAAUACGGUCGGGGGAUGACGGUACCGGAAGAAUAAGCACCGGCUAACUACGUG
This 486-nucleotide ribosomal RNA is filed under the name uncultured bacterium. RNAcentral describes it as "partial 16S ribosomal RNA". It matches the Rfam family "Bacterial small subunit ribosomal RNA", at positions 30 to 507 of the family's 1533-position model. The record is from RNAcentral.